Molecule: long non-coding RNA, 2225 nt
Organism: Falco peregrinus (peregrine falcon)
Lineage: Eukaryota; Metazoa; Chordata; Aves; Falconiformes; Falconidae
Exons: 2
Source: RefSeq, a predicted model, not a curated record
AGCUCACCAGGCGCUGCCCGUGGGGCAGGGGCGCUGCGGCUGCUUGGCUUUCUCCUUCCCAAUAGACCUGACCGAAUAGCACAAAUCAUUUGCUGCAAGAAGUAAAAGAGAAGCUGAUGAUCCAGUGGCUCAGGGAAGGGUGGCCACCACACAGAGAGACUUUCCUAACUUCACAGACAUCUUGCGAACACCUGACAAUGCCAACAAAAAGAAUAAUUGAAAAAAAUGCCAGAAGGAUGUAUUAAACAUUCUUGAUUGAGGAAUGGAUUAAGCUAUUUUUUUUAAACCUAAAUCUGAGCAUAUUUGUGUUCUGAGGACUUCAAGGCUACAAACACUGUCCCAAAAUCAGACAAAACAGGGCAGAUUAUUCUCUCAGUUAUAUUGUUAUACAGGACAUCUGUGUUGAAUUCAGUAGAUUUAUGAGCAGAUGUAAACCCAGAUAGUCUCCACCAAAGAAUAUUUAAACCCUAGAUUAAAUGUUCUUAGCAAAUUUUGAGUCUAUGCAUAUUAACAAUUAUAAUAUUUAUUUAAUGUUUUCUUUUAAUAUCCAUUUCAAAUGCACUGUUUGGUACUUGGAAUGUACUUCAGCAAUGAAAAGUACUCAUGCCUCCCUAACAGGAAUAACGCCUCUAGAAAAUUUUCAAAAAUAAUGUCACAUUUUCUUGAGCCCUGGGGUGGUUUGGCCACCAAUGAACUGCUUUUCUGGGAAGAAAAAAGAAUGGAGAGGAAGUAUAGCCUGAAUUUGUGCUGUGUAUUUGCUACUCUUUGAACUGCACACAAAAGGUGAUUCAGAUCAGUAGCAUCCCUAAAAGGCAUCACAGUUGAGUACUGAGAGUCCAACCACACUGUACUGUGAGCAUAGAAUCUAUUACUAUGGCUUCUGUGGCUCAAAGUUAAAGGUGAUUUUUAAGAACAAGUUAAUGACUAUUAGUUUUCCUCCUGCUUCACACCAUAAUCAGAUCAUUUGAAACACCCUAAGCAGAUAUUAGGGUGUAUUACCGUGUGUCUUCAGGAAAAUCUAAUGAGAGGAACCAGCAGAUAGUAAGCAAAAACAUUGUUCUUAUUUAUGUGCUGACACGAAGUGCAGUUCAGCUCUGUUCUAGGGAUUUUAUGUACACUUGGGGGAGAAGACUUGUUUUCUGUUUGCAAUAGUUCAGGCUGACUGAAGUGAGGAAUCCUCAUUUCACAGAGAGGAAACAAAGCAUUUGCUGAAAAAACUUCACUGAAGCAGCUAUUAAGCCCAGACCAUGGUCCAUAUAUGAAGUAAAAGACCUCAACAACAGUCAUCUUCCAACCAGAAAAAAUCAGAGUGCUGCCACAGAACACUUCAUGGGUAGUAACAUUGAGCGUGAACUGGUAACUCCACUGAAAAUAAAUAUGUGUGCUUGUUGCUUAUUUUCUUAAUGAUGGCAAUAGAGACUCCCUCUGUAGAAAUUGCAGGAUGUGUCAGCUAGAAUGUAUAUAUGAUUUAGUCUACUGUACCUUUGCCUAUGUAGUUGCUUUCUGCAUACCAAUUUAUCUCUCUGAGAGAGAAUUUCAGACUUGCAACAGAUUAACACAGUUCUCCUGUACUGCUUUUAUUUAAUGUGCAAUAUAAACAAGUGGUUCCUCUUCUGGGCCCAAACAUGGAAUUCCCCCAGAGCUACCCUGGACAAAAUGAGCACACCCAAGAUGAACAAAAUUAAAAUGAAAAUCAAUAAGCAUAAUGAUUCCAUCACUGUCAUUUCCUGAGUCCUCGGGAUAGCCUCCGUUUUGAAAAAGGUCACUUAGAUUUGAGGUUUCAGGGUCGAGUACUCUUCAGUGCUUACUGCCUAGCAGAAUUUCCAAUCUAGUCUGAGGCUACCAGGUGAGUGAAGGGAAUUCAACACCUGAAAACUAGUGGUCCAAAAAGGGGGUUGGUUUUAACCAUUAUUUGAAUACCGUGCUUGCCUCACACUCACAGUGGGGAAAACUAUUCAUCACAACUUUUCAUCAUCUCUUCCAUAUGUAGAUGAAUGAGAAAUGUAAAAGCAUGUGCAGUAGCAAAAGUUACAUUGUACGCCUGGAGUUCUACUCUAAUGCCUAUUUUUAUUUGCUCAUGAUUCUAUAUACAUCAGUGGAAAAUAUUAUUUUCUAUAUUGUAAGUGAGCAUACAUCUCUGACUUCUUGUAAAUUUUAAUUUUAGGUAUCAUCCUCAAGUGAUUCAUAUUUUAUGUGAAAAAAAUAAAGUUCCACUAUGAUUUAGA